This 454-nucleotide long non-coding RNA is filed under the name Helianthus annuus (common sunflower). RNAcentral's name for it is "hypothetical non coding rna". The record is from RNAcentral. Lineage: Eukaryota; Viridiplantae; Streptophyta; Magnoliopsida; Asterales; Asteraceae.
UAUGGUUAUAUGCAAUUCCUUUAACUGUUUUAUGUAUUUUGGAAUGUUACUUUGAUGAGCAAUUACGGACCAUCUGAAAGAUAAAGAAAGGGUUCCGGCCACGAUUCUGACCGGAUGUCGCUUAUAUGGAGAUAGUCGUGCACGAUUAGUUGGUCUGAUUGCAAGGGUUUUUUCUUUUCGUAUUCUGAUUUGGUUCAGGUGCAUUGCCUCCGUUUCAGUUCAGCUAUUUGAGAAAUAGGAAAUCAUUAUCUGAGUUUUGGCGGGAUUGUCCUAUUCUGGCUGAUAAUUCAAAGGAGCAUAAUUGCAUGCCUUAUGAACAUUAUACCGCAACAUUACUUGCACCCUACUUAUGAAGCUUCGUAUUCAGAUGGUUCUGUGGGUAGCGCACCAGGUGAAAGUGGACCGUCGACUACAUAGCCAUGGAUUAGCGGCAGAAGAUUUCGCGAAUUAUUGA